This 229-nucleotide ribosomal RNA is filed under the name uncultured bacterium. RNAcentral describes it as "partial 16S ribosomal RNA". It matches the Rfam family "Bacterial small subunit ribosomal RNA", at positions 568 to 796 of the family's 1533-position model. The record is from RNAcentral.
UGCGUAGGCGGAUUAAUAAGUCAGUGGUGAAAUCUUUCGGCUCAACCGAGAAACUGCCAUUGAUACUGUUAGUCUUGAGUUCGGUUGAGGUAGGCGGAAUGUGUAAUGUAGCGGUGAAAUGCUUAGAUAUUACACAGAACACCAAUUGCGUAGGCAGCUUACUAGACCGACACUGACGCUGAGGCACGAAAGCGUGGGGAGCGAACAGGAUUAGAUACCCUGGUAGUCC